Molecule: ribosomal RNA, 520 nt
Filed under: Staphylococcus aureus
Lineage: Bacteria; Bacillati; Bacillota; Bacilli; Caryophanales; Staphylococcaceae
Description: bacterial SSU rRNA
Rfam family: Bacterial small subunit ribosomal RNA
Source: RNAcentral
UAUAGAUGGAUCCGCGCUGCAUUAGCUAGUUGGUAAGGUAACGGCUUACCAAGGCAACGAUGCAUAGCCGACCUGAGAGGGUGAUCGGCCACACUGGAACUGAGACACGGUCCAGACUCCUACGGGAGGCAGCAGUAGGGAAUCUUCCGCAAUGGGCGAAAGCCUGACGGAGCAACGCCGCGUGAGUGAUGAAGGUCUUCGGAUCGUAAAACUCUGUUAUUAGGGAAGAACAUAUGUGUAAGUAACUGUGCACAUCUUGACGGUACCUAAUCAGAAAGCCACGGCUAACUACGUGCCAGCAGCCGCGGUAAUACGUAGGUGGCAAGCGUUAUCCGGAAUUAUUGGGCGUAAAGCGCGCGUAGGCGGUUUUUUAAGUCUGAUGUGAAAGCCCACGGCUCAACCGUGGAGGGUCAUUGGAAACUGGAAAACUUGAGUGCAGAAGAGGAAAGUGGAAUUCCAUGUGUAGCGGUGAAAUGCGCAGAGAUAUGGAGGAACACCAGUGGCGAAGGCGACUUUCUGG